AAAACAAUAUCCCUCCGACUCGUUCAAUCCCCACUGGGAUUGACGAGCGAUAAGGUGUAGGGAGUAAUCCCUCUGCCCGCCGUGUUUGCAAAGGAGGCGCUUCGACUUGGUG
Molecule: non-coding RNA, 112 nt
Filed under: Anaerolineaceae bacterium
Lineage: Bacteria; Bacillati; Chloroflexota; Anaerolineae; Anaerolineales; Anaerolineaceae
Description: MoCo sequence
Rfam family: Molybdenum/Tungsten riboswitch aptamer (Moco RNA motif)
Source: RNAcentral